UCCUGUGCUCCAGGGAGCUGUUACUUGUGCCUUCUUGUUCUUGGGAUGGUUGUGGAUCUGGACAUGGCUUUUGUGAUUCCCUUGUUCUGCAAAGUUCAGGAAGUGGGAAGAGUUCUCACCUCAUGUCUCCUGCCUGGGAAAAGGAGCGACAGGAGCGUUUCUGAGGCUACAAAGGGAAAAAAGAUCCCGAGGUGACCUACCUGUGUCUGGCUCCUGCUUGUACAACUUGCUGCGUGGUGUUGGUGCGGCAGGAACAGCGGCGUCCCGCGCUUUUCCUGGGAAAGCAGAGUGAGAACGAGAGAGGCAAUAUUCACAGGAGAAUCAAAACGUGACCUGGGCUGGUUGUGCAAAAAUUCCAACGGCCUUCAAAUCUGGAGAUGCUUCCUGGUGAAUUGUACAGGUGUGUUUUAGGGUAGGGGUGUUUUCACAAGGGUUAAAGUACUAAAAUGACUGGGAGCUGUGAAAAGCCAACUGCAAAGUUUGAAGGGUGCAUUUGAAAUAAACCUGGACCUGAAGGGGGGAAAAAAUAUAACCCUAGCAUUGGCUGUCUUUGUGAUAAGGUCUCUGAGAUUUUUCUCAAAUAAUUAGCAGGAUAUAAAUACAUCGGUUCAAAGAAA
Molecule: long non-coding RNA, 617 nt
Organism: Hirundo rustica (Barn swallow)
Lineage: Eukaryota; Metazoa; Chordata; Aves; Passeriformes; Hirundinidae
Exons: 2
Source: RefSeq, a predicted model, not a curated record